GCCCUGUCACCUGCCCACGCUGGGGAAGUGUUAAUUAAUGGUUAAUGAGCUGCUGGGGAGCAGGAAAUCCCGCGGGCCUGGCUGUGGCCUGGGAAGCCAAAGGGCCCACGUGUGGCCCUGGAUCAGUGAUCCCACUGCCCAGGGGUCCUGGAGAAGGGGGUGGCCCCCAGUGCUCACAGGGGGAAUCGCUGGGAAACCCCCUAAUUAGUAAUUAAUGAGUUAUUUCUUGGGAAGCAGAAGAUCCUGAGGGACCCUCUUGGCCUGGAGCUGUCCCUGUGCACUGAUCCCGAUGCCUUGGGGGACUGGAUAUGGGGCGUGGUCCCCAGGACUGAGAGGGAACAAUCACUGGGAAUGCCCUAUUAGUUACUAAUUAUUAAUUAUUAAUUACCAAUUACUAGUACUGGUAGGGAACAAUCACUGGGAAUGCCCUAUUAGUUACUAAUUACUAAUUACUAGUACUGAUAGGGAACAAUCACUGGGAAUGCCCCAUUAAUUACAAAUUACUGAGUUACUGGGGACACUCACUGAGAAAACCCGAUUAAUUACUAAUUACUGAGUUAUUGGGGACAUUCACUGAGAAAGCCCUGUUAAUUCCUAAUUACUGAGCUAUUGGGGUCAAUCAUGGGAAAGCCCUAUUAAUUAAUAAUUAAUGAGUUUUUGGGGACAAUCAUUAGGAAAGCCCUAUUAAUUAAUAAUUAAUGAGGUUUUGGGGACAAUCAUUAGGAAAGCCCUAUUAAUUAAUAAUUAAUGAGGUUUUGGGGACAAUCACUGGGAAAGCCCUAUUAAUUAGUAAUUAAUGAGUUUUUGGGGACAAUCCAUGGGAAAGCCCUAUUAAUUAAUAAUUAAUGAGGUUUUGGGGACAAUCAUUGGGAAAGCCCUAUUAUUUACUAAUUACUGAGUUAUUGGGGUCAGUCACUGGAAAAACUGUAUUAAUUAUUAAUUAAUGAGUUAUUUGGGCAUUCAGUGGGAAAGCCCUCUUAAUUCGUAAUUAAUGAGUUUCUGGGGUCAAUCAGUAGGAAAACCCUAUUAAUUACUAAUUAAUGAGUUAUUCUGGCAAUCCAUGGGAACGCCCCAUUAAUUCUUGAGUUACUGGGGACAAUGACUAGGAAAGCCCUAUUAGUAAUUAAUGAGUUUUUGGGGUCAAUCAGUGGGAAAGUCCUGUUAAUUCCUAAUUACUGGGUUAUUGGGGGCAAUCAUUAGGAAAGCCUUAUUAAUUCCUAAUUACUGAGUUAUUUGGGAUAAUCACUGGAUCAAUUAAUCGAUAAUUAAUAUUAAUUAGUAAUUAAUGAGUUAUUAGGGACACUCACUGGGAAAGCCCUAUUAAUUAUUAAUUAGCGAGUUAUUGGGAGCAAUCCCUGGGAAAACUCUGUCAGUUCCUAAUUAAUGAGUUACUGGGGACAAUGACUAGGAAAGACCUGUUAAUUUCCAAUUAAUGAGUUAAUGGGAGCAAUGACAGGGAAAAACCCUAGUAAUUCCUGAUUAAUGAAUUAUUGGGGGCAAUCAGUGGGAAAGCCUUGUUAAAUCCUAAUUACUGAGCUACUGGGGACAGUCAGUGGGAAAGCCCUCUUAAUUAGUAAUUAGUGAGUUAUUGGGGAUAAUCACUGGGAAAGCCUUAUUAAUUAUUAAUUACUGAGUUAUUGGGGACAAUCAGUGGGAAAGCCCUUUUAAUUAGUAAUUAAUGAGUUUUUGGGGACAAUCAUUUGGAAAGCCCUAUUAAUUACUAAUUAAUGAGUUAUUGGGGACAAUCACUAGGAAAGCCCUAUUAAUUAAUAAUUGCUGAGAUAUUGGGGUCAGUCACUUGAAAAGACUUAUUAAUUCCUAAUUAAUGAGUUUCUGGGGUCAAUCAGUGGGAAAGUCCUGUUAAUUCCUAGUUAAUGAGUUAUUGAGGGCAAUCAUUAGGAAAGCCUUAUUUAUUAAUAAUUACUGAGUUAUUGGGGACAAUCAGUGGGAAAGCCCUGUUAAUUAGUAAUUAAUGAGUUAUUGUGGUCAGUCACUGGGAAACCCCUAUUAAUUCCUAAUUAGUGAGUUGUUGAAGUGAGUCACUGGAAAAACCCUAUUAAUUCCUAAUUACUGAGAUAUUGGGGAUAAUCACUGAUCAAUUAAUUAAUAAAUAAUUAAUAGUUAAUUAAUUAAUAAUUAAUAAAUAAUUGUUAAUUAGUAAUUACUGAGUUAUUGGGGACAUUCACUGGGAAAGCCCUAUUAAUUAGUAAUUAAUGAGUUAUUGGGGAUAAUCACUAGAUCAAUUAAUCGAUAAUUAAUUAAUAAAUAUUAAUUAGUAAUUAAUGAGUUACUGGGGACAAUGACUAGGAAAGACCUGUUAAUUCCUAAUUAAUGAGUUAUUGGGGGCAAUCAGUGGGAAAACCCUAUUAAUUCCUAAUAAUGAGUUAUUGGGGGCAAUCAGUGGGAAAGCCCUGUCAAUUCCUAAUUACUGAGUUAUUGGGGACAAUCACUGGGAAAACCAUAUAAGUAGUAAUUAAUGAGUUUUUGUGGUCAAUCAGUGAGAAAGCCCUAUUACUAAUUAAUGAGUUAUUGGGAAUAAUCCCUGGGAAUGCCCUAUUAAUUAUUAAUUACUGAGUUAUUGGGGACAAUCAGUGGGAAAGCCCUAUUAAUAAUUAAUUACUGAGUUUUUGGGGACAAUCAAUGGGAAAGCCCUACUAAUUACUAAUUAAUGAGUUUUUGUGGCAAUCCAUGGGAAAGCCCUAUUAAUUCCUAAUUACUGAGUUAUUGUGGUCAGUCACUGGGAAACCCCUAUUAAUUCCUAAUUACUGAGUUGUAAGGUGAGUCAUUGGAAAAACCCUAUUAAUUCCUAAUUACUGAGUUAUUGGGGACAUUCACUGGGAAAGCCUUAUUAAUUACUAAUUAGUGAGUUAUUGAGGAUAAUCACUGGAAAAGCCCUAUUAAUUCCUAAUUCAUGAGUUAUUGGGGAUAAUCACUGGAUCAAUUACUUAGUAAUUAAAUAAUAAUUAAUUAAUAAUUGUUAAUUAGUAAUGAAUGAGUUAUUGGGGACAGUCACUGGGAAUACCCUAUUAAUUCCUAAUUAGUGAGUUAUUGAGGAUAAUCACUGGCAAAGCCCUAUUAAUUGAUAAUUACUGAGUUAUUGGGGACAAUCAUUGGGAAAGCCCUAUGAAUUGAUAAUUAGUGAGUUAUUGGGUGCAAUUACUGGGAAAUCCCUGUUAAUUACUCAUAACCGAGUGUGACCCUGCCCAGAGUGACCCUGCCCAGAGUGACCCUGCCCGGUGUGACCCUGCCCAGAGUGACCCUGCCCGCUGUGACCCUGCCCAGAGUGACCCUCCCUGGUGUGACCCUGCCCAGAGUGACCCUGCCCAGAGUGACCCUCCCUGGUGUGACCCUGUCCAGAGUGACCCUGCCCAGAGUGACCCUGCCCGAGUGACCCUGCCCAGAGUGACCCUGUCCAGAGUGACCCUGCCCAGAGUGACCCUGCCCAGAGUGACCCUGCUCCCCGGGGUCCUGGGGGUGUCCCGGGGGUGCCCCCGUGUCCCAGCCCAGCCCUGCCCUCCCUGCCCAGAGUGACCCUGCCCAGAGUGACCCUGCCCGCUUGACCCUGCCCAGAGUGACCCUGCCCGGUGUGACCCUGCCCAGAGUGACCCUGUCCAGUGUGACCCUGCCCGCUGUGACCCUGCUCCCUGGGGUCCUGGGGGUGCCCCCGUGUCCCAGCCCUGCCCUGCC
Molecule: long non-coding RNA, 3687 nt
Organism: Pseudopipra pipra
Lineage: Eukaryota; Metazoa; Chordata; Aves; Passeriformes; Pipridae
Exons: 3
Source: RefSeq, a predicted model, not a curated record